AAUAAAUUUUUUAUGGUUUAAAUAUUUUAUUAAUAAUUUAUUUUACAUAUAAAUUUUAGUGUUGUAUUUAAUUUAUUUUAAAAAUAAAUUAAUUUAUUUUAUAGUAAUUAAUAUUAAAUAAUUUAAGAAAUUAAGAUUUAGUAAUAUUAAAAUUAAUAACAAAUUUUGUGCCAGCAGUUGCGGUUACACAAAGAUUAAAUUAAAUUUUAUUAGUAAUUAAUAAAUAAAUUAUUAAUAAAUAAUUAAAAUUUUAAAUUAUUAGGUGAAAUUUUAAUUUAAUAAAAUAUUAUAUAAUUAAUUAUGAUUUAAUAAAUUUUAUAAAAAACUAGGAUUAGAUACCCUAUUAUUAAAAUUUAAAAUUAAAUUACUAAAAUAGUAAAUAAUUAUUUAUUGAAACUUAAAUAAUUUGGCGGUAUUUUAGUUCAUUUAGAGGAAUCUGUUUAAUAAUUGAUAAUCCACGAAUAAAUUUACUUAAUUUACAAUUUUGUAUAUCGUUGUUAAAAAAAUAUUUUUAAAAAAAAAUAAUAUUUAAAAAUUUUUAUAAUAAAUUAAAUCAGAUCAAGAUGCAGAUUAUAAUUAAGAAUAUAAUGGAUUACAAUAAAUUUAUUUAAAUGAAUAUUAAUUUGUAAGAAUUAAUUGAAAGUGGAUUUAAGUGUAAUUUUAUUUAAUUUAAUAAAAUGAUUAUAAAUUAAAAUAUGUACAUAUUGCCCGUCGCUUUCAUAUAUUAAUAAAUUGAAAUAAGUCGUAACAAAGUAGGGGUACUGGAAAGUGUUUCUAGAAAGAA
Molecule: non-coding RNA, 784 nt
Filed under: Ctenoplusia agnata
Lineage: Eukaryota; Metazoa; Arthropoda; Insecta; Lepidoptera; Noctuidae
Source: RNAcentral